This 263-nucleotide unclassified non-coding RNA is filed under the name plant metagenome. RNAcentral's name for it is "partial contains small subunit ribosomal RNA, internal transcribed spacer 1, and 5.8S ribosomal RNA". The record is from RNAcentral.
GUUCCGUAGGUGAACCUGCGGAAGGAUCAUUAUUGUAUAACCGAGGUGCGAGGGCUGUCGCUGACCCGAAAGGUCGUGCACGCCCGAGUGCCCUCACACACAUCCAUCUCACCCCUAUGUGCACCACCGCGUGGGUCCCCCUUUGGCUUGUUCGGAGGGGGGCUUACGUUUUCACACAAACUUUGUAUGCAGUGUAGAAUGUAUUUUUUGUUUUUGCGAUCACGCAAUCAAUACAACUUUCAACAAUGGAUCUCUUGGCUCUC